Nothobranchius furzeri (turquoise killifish) is the source of this 2967-nucleotide non-coding RNA. NCBI's taxonomy places the organism in Eukaryota, Metazoa, Chordata, Actinopteri, Cyprinodontiformes, Nothobranchiidae. The record is from RefSeq and is a predicted model, not a curated record.
UUUAUAACAUUCACAGCAUUUUUAUGUUUCGUUAGAAUAGGACUAACAAUGCGUGUUUUGUUCACAGACCUUAGCCUGCUACUGUUUUUCCAGUUCUUUUAUUAAAUCUUUUCUAGUUCUUUUAUUAAACCGUUUAACGGUUUUAUCUUGUUACUAAUAGUUUUCUCCAGAGGGGGAAGGAAGCAAACUUGUUUGUGAGUCGGGUGGUUAGCGUUAAGCACAGCGCUGUCUCUGGGAGGCUAGUUUCUUUUAGAGUAUCCGCUGUAGGGGUUUGUCGGGGGUUUGACUCACUUCUGGGUGACGUGUGUAUGAGCUUUAGUUAAAGGGAGCACUGCGUGUUUUUCUUUAUAUUAUUGUCUCUUGUCUCGGGUCCCUACAGCGGCUUUGUGCUUUUAAAUAAUAGUUGGAUGGCGUUGUGUGUAGUCCCAGGGCCAGCAUAGUCGUCGCUCCUCCCUCCCGUGCUUUAGAGUUUUAAGCCUAUUUUUAUCCCGAUCUGGGUUGUCUUUAAUAAAUCUCCUGUGCUGUAUCUUCUGAAUAAAAUUGUUAAACUUGUGAAUAAGCCUCUGCUGUUUUCAUCAAGGGUUAUUAUUUCCUACGGUUUUAGGAUCUAAGCAUCCAACCCUCCAGGUCACACAUAUAAUUAAAUAAAAUAUAAAAAGACAAAUAAAGUAAAAUAACAGUUCCCGAGUUUUGCAAAUGCUGGAAGCCCUGAUAUAAAUGCAGCAUUUACAUUAUAUAAACAACAUUGGUAAAGUUUAUCAACGUUCAUACAUUUUUAUGUUUUUUCUCUCUUGAUGUCUUUGGCUGUUUGGCUGUUGCAAUACCUUCUCCGGACCAGCGGGUGGCGCUGUUGCGCACACGUACAGCGGAACUGUCUGUAAACAAAAUAAAAGCAUGUAUUCAUGUUAACCAUGAUGUUAACGCCAUCAUGUUAGUCUUAAAAAUCAUUAAUAGCGAUGAUGAGAUGGAUGAAGAACUUAGCGAGUGGAACCACUCCUUCGUGGAUUCAGCAGCUCUUUUCCAACUCCUCAGUCGCUUCUUCUGGUAAAAUUGUCAGUUUUUGCUGCUUCAGCUUGAUUUGAAGAUAACUUGGGAUCAGCUGUUAAAGCAUCAUCAGCUCCUUCACAGUCAUUUUGCAUUUUGACCUGGAUGGCUGCUACCCUCAGGUGGAAAUGAUAAGAAAUCCAGCUCUGAAAUGCGUGCCUUUAGGUAAACCUAAAAUAUUAUUAUGGAAUAUUAAAGUUGCUGAGUUUCUGUGAAGAUUAAACACAUCCAUCUUCAGGUGUUCAGCAGAAAUGCAUCAUAGUCACCUGUAACUACGUGGCCAGGGGUUGGGGUGUUACCAAGCUGAUGUCUGAAGUGUUGCGAGCUGGUGCUGGUUAACGGAGAAGACCUGACACACUACAGAGAAAUGUCCUAUAAAGUGAAAGAAAACAGAAGAAGCUGUGGUCCAGCUGGUUUUGAUGGCAAUGAAACUUUUUCAGAAUAUGGUGGACAGCAGCGCUGAUUUUCACCUCACACUCCUAGACGUCUGCUUCAGCAACCUGCAGACGAGAGGGGCGGCUGUGAGCGCCAUCACAUCGUUCUUCACGCAGAACACAUCCCCCAGAAAACCCCAACACUUACCAUCACAAAACCAGGUGGUGCGUUUAAGAUCAACAGAUUCUGUCAUUUAAACGAGCUCUUCAUUUCUCCUCUUUAUAUCAUUAAAGGUGUUUUGUACCUUUUAUAUAUUUUUAAAGGGUUUUUCUGAAAAUGUAAGACUAUUACCAUAUUUUUUCUUUUUUAUUAUUAAAUAAAUACCGUAUUUUCCGGACAAUAAGUCACCCUUUUUUCAUAGUCUGGCUGGUCCUGCGACUUAUAUACCAAAUUAUGUAGGCUAUACUGCGCUGCAGCGGGCCGGCUCUGGACCAGGAAUGAGCUCCCCUGCCCCGCCAUACUCUGCUGGAGACCGUGACGUGCUGCUGCGCCGUGAUUGUUUAUUCUGUUAUUGUUACUGGUACUUGUCUUGCAAUGUGAAACGCUUGGUCUCAGAUUUUGUAAGGAAAAUAAUAAAAUUUCCCCCCAAAAUGCGACUUAUAGUCCAGCACGACUUACAUAUGUUUUCUUCUUCAUUAUACAUUUUAUGGCUGGUGCGACUUAUACUCCGGAAAAUACGGUAUUUAAACAAAUAGUGAAAACAGUAUGACUCAGAGCUUUUGCACAUCUAAACUAAAAUAUGAACUUUUUCUUGAUUUUAAGAGGAAAAAGCAAAUCAUAUUUUCAAAGUUGAAAACCAGAAUUUUAACAUAUUUGUUUUUAGUAUUUUUUGCAAGAAAUUUGUAUGUAAUUAUUUGUAGAUGUUGUUAAUCAGUACUUUUUCUUUUUAAAAUGAAAGCAUUAGAUGUUGCAGUUAUUAUUAUUCAUCUCUCGUUUGGACAGAAUAUUUGGGUAUUAAACGCUGUCAUUUAUCUUGGCGAGUAAAUACGUUGCUCUCUUUAGCUGCUUUACUUGUGCCAACUCAUGGACUCGACACACGGGAGGCGACAUCGCCUCUCCUCCAUUCAUUUUCAAUGAGACAUGCGUGACAAAGCGAUAAUCGCGGGUCUCCCUCCUACUAAGCGAAACGCGAAAAACAUGCUUGUGAAAUUUUGCACUCGCGCACGUGUCAUGCACAGGUGACCCAGCGACGCGAUCCCAGAAAGUUGAAAUAUUUUCAACUUUUCAUCGCUGUCGCUCGGACGAGGACCAAUCAACGGAGGUUUCAUUCACUAACCAAUGAGCGGACAGGAUGCUCCGUACAUCUCCGAGCAAACAUGGACUCCGUUUCUCCUUCUGUGACUGUGUUCAUCUUAAUGUGAGGUCCAAACCGUGUGAUAAAUUGAAGCAUGUCCUGGUAGACAGAGAGUAGCCCUCUCCUGGUUUGUAAUAUGGAAUGAACCCAUUCUCUGUUUUUUUAUAUAUAAUAAAAUCAGAAGUAAGAUUUCA